UGGGGAAUAUUGGACAAUGGGGGAAACCCUGAUCCAGCGACGCCGCGUGAGUGAAGAAGUAUUUCGGUAUGUAAAGCUCUAUCAGCAGGGAAGAAAAUGACGGUACCUGACUAAGAAGCCCCGGCUAACUACGUGCCAGCAGCCGCGGUAAUACGUAGGGGGCAAGCGUUAUCCGGAUUUACUGGGUGUAAAGGGAGCGCAGACGGCCAAGCAAGUCUGAAGUGAAAUGCAUGGGCUCAACCCAUGAAUUGCUUUGGAAACUGUUAGGCUUGAGUGUCGGAGGGGUAAGCGGAAUUCCUAGUGUAGCGGUGAAAUGCGUAGAUAUUAGGAGGAACACCGGAGGCGAAGGCGGCUUACUGGACGACAACUGACGUUGAGGCUCGAAGGCGUGGGGAGCAAACAGG
This 404-nucleotide ribosomal RNA is filed under the name uncultured bacterium. RNAcentral describes it as "bacterial SSU rRNA". It matches the Rfam family "Bacterial small subunit ribosomal RNA", at positions 355 to 776 of the family's 1533-position model. The record is from RNAcentral.